This 253-nucleotide ribosomal RNA is filed under the name uncultured bacterium. RNAcentral describes it as "partial 16S ribosomal RNA". It matches the Rfam family "Bacterial small subunit ribosomal RNA", at positions 524 to 776 of the family's 1533-position model. The record is from RNAcentral.
CACGGGGGGAGCAAGCGUUGUUCGGAAUCACUGGGCGUAAAGGGCGUGUAGGCGGUCAAGUAAGUGGGAUGUGAAAUCCCCCGGCUUACCCGGGGACCGGCAUCCCAUACUGCUUGGCUUGAGUACGGGAGAGGAUGUGGGAAUUCCUGGUGUAGCGGUGAAAUGCGCAGAUAUCAGGAGGAACACCGAUGGCGAAGGCAGGUCUCUGGGCCGAUACUGACGCUGAGGAGCGAAAGCGUGGGGAGCGAACAGG